This 501-nucleotide ribosomal RNA is filed under the name uncultured bacterium. Its description in RNAcentral is "partial 16S ribosomal RNA". It matches the Rfam family "Bacterial small subunit ribosomal RNA", at positions 30 to 523 of the family's 1533-position model. The record is from RNAcentral.
AUUGAACGCUGGCGGCAGGCUUAACACAUGCAAGUCGAGCGGGGGAAGGUAGCUUGCUACCGGACCUAGCGGCGGACGGGUGAGUAAUGCUUAGGAAUCUGCCUAUUAGUGGGGGACAACAUCUCGAAAGGGAUGCUAAUACCGCAUACGUCCUACGGGAGAAAGCAGGGGAUCUUCGGACCUUGCGCUAAUAGAUGAGCCUAAGUCGGAUUAACUAGUUGGUGGGGUAAAGGCCUACCAAGGCGACGAUCUGUAGCGGGUCUGAGAGGAUGAUCCGCCGCACUGGGACUGAGACACGGCCCAGACUCCUACGGGAGGCAGCAGUGGGGAAUAUUGGACAAUGGGGGGAACCCUGAUCCAGCCAUGCCGCGUGUGUGAAGAAGGCCUUAUGGUUGUAAAGCACUUUAAGCGAGGAGGAGGCUACUUUAGUUAAUACCUAGAGAUAGUGGACGUUACUCGCAGAAUAAGCACCGGCUAACUCUGUGCCAGCAGCCGCGGUAA